RNAcentral lists this unclassified non-coding RNA (333 nucleotides) under uncultured soil eukaryote. RNAcentral's name for it is "sequence contains 5.8S rRNA gene, ITS2, 28S rRNA gene". The record is from RNAcentral.
AACGCAAGUUGCGCCCGAAGCCUUUAGGCCGAGGGCACGUCUGCCUGGGUGUCACGCACCGUUGCCCCCCCAAAAUGAACCCGCUGCUCAAGCGGACAUCCGACGGGGGGAGGAUAUUGGCCUCCCGUGCGAUUCUGUUCUCGCGGUUGGCCGAAAUACAGGUCCUCGGAAGCGGACGCCGCGACAUUCGGUGGUGGAAUGAAAAGGAAACCCUCGAGCUCCCGUCGCUGCGGCGCUACCGAUCAUAGGAUCACAUGACCCUACGAAAGCCUCUCCAUCGAGGCGCACACGCAUCGCGACCCCAGGUCAGGCGGGAUCACCCGCUGAGUUUAA